This 460-nucleotide ribosomal RNA is filed under the name uncultured bacterium. RNAcentral describes it as "partial 16S ribosomal RNA". It matches the Rfam family "Bacterial small subunit ribosomal RNA", at positions 338 to 795 of the family's 1533-position model. The record is from RNAcentral.
CCUACGGGCGGCAGCAGUGAGGAAUAUUGGUCAAUGGACGAGAGUCUGAACCAGCCAAGUAGCGUGAAGGAUGACUGCCCUAUGGGUUGUAAACUUCUUUUAUAUGGGAAUAAAAUGUUCCACGUGUGGGAUUUUGUAUGUACCAUAUGCAUAAGGAUCGGCUAACUCCGUGCCAGCAGCCGCGGUAAUACGGAGGAUCCGAGCGUUAUCCGGAUUUAUUGGGUUUAAAGGGAGCGUAGGUGGAUUUUUAAGUCAGUUGUGAAAGUUUGCGGCUCAACCGUAAAAUUGCAGUUGAAACUGGCAGUCUUGAGUACAGUAGAGGUGGGCGGAAUUCGUGGUGUAGCGGUGAAAUGCUUAGAUAUCACGAAGAACUCCGAGUGCGAAGGCAGUUCACUGGACUGCAACUGACACUGAGGCUCGAAAGUGUGGGUAUCAAACAGGAUUAGAUACCCGAGUAGUC